Non-coding RNA from Nothobranchius furzeri (turquoise killifish), 1598 nucleotides. Lineage: Eukaryota; Metazoa; Chordata; Actinopteri; Cyprinodontiformes; Nothobranchiidae. The record is from RefSeq and is a predicted model, not a curated record.
CAAUGUACUAUUUCCAUUCCUCCUUUUAGAAGCCCUGCGCAGUGAUUCAGGCUAUACUUUUCCUCCCCUUCAUAUAAAUAGCUGCUCCGUUCAGUGACGUGGGAUACGCACGUACAUGUGUAGGUGAAUCUUUGAAUGAGCCACCUCUCCCCUCCCCUCUCCCCGUCCAUCCACCCCUCCAUCUCCUCCAUCCCUCCUCAUCCUCCCUCCCCACCACGCCUCCCCCUCCACUAGUUACUACGGGAUCUCUAUAAAAAGCCUAUGGAUGGGAGAGCCCGGUCUGUGUGGGGAGCGACUUUGGAGAAGACGGAUGGCGGCGUGGCGCUGAUUUGCUCUGACACUUUGGUGGAGGAGAGGAGACCGGACGGACAUGCUUCCAAGCAAAAGCGCGACAAAACGCAGCCGCUCGGGGAACUUUUCCAGGAGAUUUCCACACAGAGGAGAUUUACUUCCUUCUUGCCAUCUCCUCUCUGCUCUCCUGCCAGAGCAUCAGCACCUUGGCUUUAGACUGCUUACUGCUUAUACAGUAUCACAGCACAGUAACAGUCUACAGUCAUGGCUACUGAAGCCUGGUAAUGCAACAGACACGGUAGAAACAGGCUAUGUGCACACGAGGGGAAAGGGGAAUACUGGAAGUGCGCAGUACUUAUAAAAUGGCUGAAUUGAUAGCUGGAUCUCACUUUCAGUGCGAGCACGUGUGUGUGUGUGUGUGUGUGUGUGUGUGUGUGUGUGUGUGUGUGUGUGUGUGUGUGUGUGUGUGUGUGUGUGUGUGUGUGUGUGUGUGUGUGUGUGUGUGUGUGUGUGUGUGUGUGUGUGUGUGUGUGUGUGUGUGUGUGUGUGUGUGUUUCUCCCACACAGAGAGGAAAGCCUGUGUGGGCUUGCAUUGGGGGAGUCCUGCACCCCACAAGUGAGUAAGGUUCACACUCAAACCAAUGAGCUCCUGCAGCUUCCAGUUACCAUGCCAACUGCAGUUCCACCUCCACCCUUGCUGUCUCCAUGGCGACCGUGGCUUUAGAUUGUUACUCUAGCAACAGCACCAUGGUAACAGUCUACAGCCAUGGUCGUUAGGGGCAGGUGUCAUCCGGAAACCAAAGGAAAGAUCACUUUUAAUUGCAUCUACUUGUAAAAAUGUUUCUCUUUGAUGUUUGUCUGAAUUAAUAUGCAACAAACUGAAUCUAUUGGCUGUAGGAAACAGUUUCAGAGUCACAAAAUGACGCACGAGCACACGCUGCUUUUCAGUUUCUUUAUAAAGUUUAAUUAGUGAAGUACAACGAUACAUGCAAACAUUACAAGCUGCACAGAUGAGUUAGUAAGCUCCACUUUCUGUUCAUCAGACAAGAGAAGCUUCACUUCAAAGUAGCACAGUUAGGAAAUUCCAGUGGGUAGCGUCCAGACCUCGGCAGAGUCCUGCACAGGUGGGAUAACACACACCUUCACACACACACUCUUAAUGUGUGCUUGCAGCACAAUAUCAGAGCUGUUUCAAGCACAACUCUGCAGUGUCCGGAGUUAGUCUGCCAUCUAGUGGGAAGAUAAGCAAAUGUAACAGAUUUCGUGUUUUUUUUUUUUUUUUUUUUUUUUUUUUUUUUUUUUUUUUA